CAGCAGCCGCGGGAAUACGAGGGGUGCAAGCGUUGCUCGGAAUUAUUGGGCGUGAAGGGUAGGUAGGUGGUCUCAUUUGUCGGGGGUGAAAGCCUUGGCUUAACCCAAGAAGUGCCCCCGAAACGGUGAGACUCGAGUCUUGGAGAGGGUCGUGGAAUUCCCGGUGUAGCGGUGAAAUGCGUAGAGAUCGGGAGGAACACCAGAGGCGAAGGCGGCGACCUGGACAAGUACUGACACUCAACUACGAAAGCGUGGGGAGCAAACAGGAUUAGAUACCCCCGUAGUCCCUGUCUCUUAUACA
This 301-nucleotide ribosomal RNA is filed under the name uncultured bacterium. Its description in RNAcentral is "partial 16S ribosomal RNA". It matches the Rfam family "Bacterial small subunit ribosomal RNA", at positions 509 to 808 of the family's 1533-position model. The record is from RNAcentral.